UAUAUUGUACUCUCCCAAGCACUUGAAUAAAUACAAUUGAAUGGGAGGGAGAUGAAUUGAGUGAAAGGAGGGUGGGCCAGCCCGGAGUUUAAUGGUCUACAGGUGGAGAGGAAUUUGAAAGGCCCGAGAGGAGGCGGUGGUGAAUGUUGUGGUAGCUGAGAGGGUGGUGGAAGUGGGAAGGUGAUAGGACUAAUUAGGGAAUGCCUGCUGGAGGUGAUGACUUUUUAGGAGGGGUUUAGAAAGAGAUGAUCUGGUAUGAUCUGGUAAAGAGAAAGCUGAAGCGCUCUGAGGUUCUGCUGAGGAAGAAGCUCCUGAAAGAAGACAGGCCGGAAGGAGGAGAGAGGAAAGAUAAACAAGGCGAUGACAGCCACCAGCAUCCCAAUCAGGACCAGGCCGGCACUCACACCUUCGAUCACGCCAAACAAGGGUUCUGAAAAUUGAAGAGAGUGCUCGAUUCCCAGGCACAAAAAUGAGGCCCACUGAGGAAGACCCUUUUCUUCUUGACAGAUGCAGGCCAUUUCCCUAAUUGAGGGGGUAGAUUUUAGCCUCUAAGGUUAUUCUCUCCCUAACUACGCCUGUGAACAUCCUGGCACAUGAGAGGAACUGAGCCAGUGAGUUCUCGUUGGGUUCUCCCGGCCCCUAAAAAAUGAAAGGGAGAUUUCCAGAGAUCCUUGGGUAGUGAGGGACCAUUCAGCGGAUGGUUGAAAUGCCCUAAAUGGAGGAAUGAUGGUGUAGAAAGGCCUGGCUUAACACCGUAGGCGCAAUCAUAAAAACGUCCUUCCACAAAACUUCCAAAGUUGAGGAAUGGUUCACAGAAAUUGGAGCAAGGCAACAAGUUUCUCUCCAGGCCUUCCGAUCCCCAUUCAUUCACCCCGAGGUGGCAAAUGGCAUCCCUUGCUUCUGUUAAUAAAGAACAGGGUGGAGCUGGAGGGCUGCCAUGUUUGCUCGUCUGCCCAGUUACACUGCUGGCCGCCAUCUUCUCUGA
This is a long non-coding RNA of Ornithorhynchus anatinus (platypus), 985 nucleotides long. RefSeq lists it as uncharacterized. Lineage: Eukaryota; Metazoa; Chordata; Mammalia; Monotremata; Ornithorhynchidae. The record is from RefSeq and is a predicted model, not a curated record. The transcript is spliced from 2 exons.